RNAcentral lists this ribosomal RNA (1243 nucleotides) under metagenome. RNAcentral describes it as "bacterial LSU rRNA". It matches the Rfam family "Bacterial large subunit ribosomal RNA", at positions 1564 to 2816 of the family's 2925-position model. The record is from RNAcentral.
UGAAUACGAGAUGCUACGGCAUUGAAGCAGUCUAUGUCAGACUUCCAAGAAAAGCUCGCAAUGUCAUAAACAAUUAAUGCCUGUACCAUAACCGACACAGGUGGGUAGGUAGAGUAUACUAAGGGGCGCGAGGUAACUCUCUCUAAGGAACUCGGCAAAAUGACUCCGUAACUUCGGGAGAAGGAGUGCCUUAUUUUAUAAGGUUGCAAUAACAAGAUCCAAGCAACUGUUUACCAAAAACACAGGUCUCCGCUAAGUCGUAAGACGAUGUAUGGGGGCUGACGCCUGCCCAGUGCCAGAAGGUUAAAGAAGUUGGUUAGCCUAGCGAAGCUGAUGACUGAAGCCCUGGUGAACGGCGGCCGUAACUAUAACGGUCCUAAGGUAGCGAAAUUCCUUGUCGGGUAAGUUCCAACCCGCACGAAAGGCGUAAUGAUUUGGAUACUGUCUCGGAGAGGGGCUCGGUGAAAUAGACUUGUCUGUGAAGAUGCGGACUACCUGCACCUGGACAGAAAGACCCUAUGAAGCUUUACUGUAACUUGAGAUUGAAAUUGGACUUUAUUUGCGCAGUAUAGGUGGGAGACGUUGAGAAUAUUCUUGCGGGAAUAUUGGAGUCAUCAGUGAGAUACCACUCUUGUAAUGUUAGAUUUCUAACUUUGAAUCAUUAUCUGGUCAAAGAACAGUCUCAGGCGGGCAGUUUGACUGGGGCGGUCGCCUCCUAAACGGUAACGGAGGCGCACAAAGGUUUCCUCUGAACGUGUAGAAAUCGUAUCUAGAGUGUAAAGGCAUAAGGAAGCUUGACUGUGAGACCUACAAGUCGAGCAGGGACGAAAGUCGGUCUUAGUGAUCUGACGGUGCUGAGUGGAAAGGCCGUCACUCAACGGAUAAAAGUUACUCUAAGGAUAACAGGCUGAUCUCCCCCAAGAGUUCACAUCGACGGGGAGGUUUGGCACCUCGAUGUCGGCUCAUCGCAUCCUGGGGCGGUAGUACGUCCCAAGGGUUGGGCUGUUCGCCCAUGAAAGCGGUACGCGAGCUGGGUUCAGAACGUCGUGAGACAGUUCGGUCCAUAUCCGGUGUAGGCGUUAGAAUAUUGAGAGGAGCCUUCUUUAGUACGAGAGGACCGAGAAGGACAUACCUCUGGUGUACCAGUUAUCGUGCCAACGGUAAACGCUGGGUAGCUAUGUAUGGAGUGGAUAACCGCUGAAAGCAUCUAAGUGGGAAGCCCACCUCAAGAUAAGUAUUCUCA